This 370-nucleotide unclassified non-coding RNA is filed under the name Hevea brasiliensis (rubber tree). Lineage: Eukaryota; Viridiplantae; Streptophyta; Magnoliopsida; Malpighiales; Euphorbiaceae. The record is from RNAcentral.
AGCAAACAAAUAAUUCAUAUUCUCCUAUAAUCAAAUUCAACUGUAGAAUAUCCCACCAAAUUAGCAUGCACUCCUGAAAUCCAAUAAAAAGACAACCCCAGAAGCAUCUAAAAAUACCACAAACUAGAUUAUUUACAAUUGCAGCAAUGAAUAUCCUCAUGAAUUUAACUUUUAGGAGCCUCAAAGGAGCUUUCUACUAAGUGUAGAACAAGACAACACCAGUAGAACCAAUGGCUUAACCAAAAACUUCACAGUCAAUUCCCUUUGUCGUGAGAGCCCACCAUACCUAGUUUCCAACUGUGGUAUAGAUGCAGUUUCUUUCCCACAACAAUAAAUCUAAAAAAGCAUAUCCACAAAACUUCACUUCAAU